CUACGGGAGGCAGCAGUGGGGAAUAUUGCACAAUGGGGGAAACCCUGAUGCAGCCAUGCCGCGUGUGUGAAGAAGGCCUUCGGGUUGUAAAGCACUUUCAGUAGGGAGGAAGGUAGUGUAGUUAACACCUGCACUAUUUGACGUUACCUACAGAAGAAGCACCGGCUAACUCCGUGCCAGCAGCCGCGGUAAUACGGAGGGUGCGAGCGUUAAUCGGAAUUACUGGGCGUAAAGCGCAUGCAGGCGGCCUGUUAAGUCAGAUGUGAAAGCCCGGGGCUUAACCUCGGAAUUGCAUUUGAAACUGGCAGGCUAGAGUCUUGUAGAGGGGGUAGAAUUUCAGGUGUAGCGGUGAAAUGCGUAGAGAUCUGAAGGAAUACCAGUGGCGAAGGCGGCCCCCUGGACAAAGACUGACGCUCAGAUGCGAAAGCGUGGGGAGCAAACAGGUUUAGAUACCCUGGUAG
This 461-nucleotide ribosomal RNA is filed under the name uncultured bacterium. RNAcentral describes it as "bacterial SSU rRNA". It matches the Rfam family "Bacterial small subunit ribosomal RNA", at positions 339 to 793 of the family's 1533-position model. The record is from RNAcentral.